UGGGGAAUUUUGGACAAUGGGCGAAAGCCUGAUCCAGCAAUGCCGCGUGUGUGAAGAAGGCCUUCGGGUUGUAAAGCACUUUUGUCCGGAAAGAAAUCCUUGGCUCUAAUACAGUCGGGGGAUGACGGUACCGGAAGAAUAAGCACCGGCUAACUACGUGCCAGCAGCCGCGGUAAUACGUAGGGUGCAAGCGUUAAUCGGAAUUACUGGGCGUAAAGCGUGCGCAGGCGGUUUGCUAAGACCGAUGUGAAAUCCCCGGGCUCAACCUGGGAACUGCAUUGGUGACUGGCAGGCUAGAGUAUGGCAGAGGGGGGUAGAAUUCCACGUGUAGCAGUGAAAUGCGUAGAGAUGUGGAGAAUACCGAUGGCGAAGGCAGCCCCCUGGGCCAAUACUGACGCUCAUGCACGAAAGCGUGGGGAGCAAACAGGAUUAGAUACCCUGGUAGUCCACGCCCUAAAACGAUGUCAACUAGUUGUUGGGGAUUCAUUUCCUUAGUAACGUAGCUAACGCGUGAAGUUGACCGCCUGGGGAGUACGGUCGCAAGAUUAAAACUCAAAUGAAUUGACGGGGUCAUAGCUGUUUCCU
RNAcentral lists this ribosomal RNA (585 nucleotides) under uncultured bacterium. Its description in RNAcentral is "partial 16S ribosomal RNA". It matches the Rfam family "Bacterial small subunit ribosomal RNA", at positions 355 to 1375 of the family's 1533-position model. The record is from RNAcentral.